This 444-nucleotide ribosomal RNA is filed under the name uncultured prokaryote. RNAcentral describes it as "bacterial SSU rRNA". It matches the Rfam family "Archaeal small subunit ribosomal RNA", at positions 739 to 1183 of the family's 1478-position model. The record is from RNAcentral.
GGGUAGUCCAGGGUGUAAACGCUGCAGGCUUGGUGUCGGGGGUCCUACGAGGGCACUCGGUGCCGGAGAGAAGUUGUUAAGCCUGCCGCUUGGGGAGUACGCUCGCAAGAGUGGAACUUAAAGGAAUUGGCGGGGGAGCACAGCAACGGGAGGAGCGUGCGGUUCAAUUGGAUUCAACGCCGUAAAACUCACCGGGAGCGACGGUUACAUGAAGGUCAAGCUGAUGACUUUACCUGAUUUUCCGAGAGGUGGUGCAUGGCCGCCGUCAGUUCGUACCGUAAGGCGUUCUGUUAAGUCAGAUAACGAACGAGACCCUCACCCUUAAUUGCCAGCCAUUCCUCCGGGAAUGGGGAACAUUAAGGGGACCGCUGGCGCUAAGUCAGAGGAAGGCGAGGUCAACGGUAGGUCAGUAUGCCCCGAAUCUCCCGGGCUACACGCGCGCUA